This is a small nuclear RNA of Phragmites australis (common reed), 196 nucleotides long. RefSeq annotates it as U2 spliceosomal RNA. Lineage: Eukaryota; Viridiplantae; Streptophyta; Magnoliopsida; Poales; Poaceae. The record is from RefSeq and is a predicted model, not a curated record. The transcript has a single exon.
AUACCUUUCUCAGCCUUUUGGCUAAGAUCAAGUGUAGUAUCCGUUCUUAUCAGUUUAAUAUAUGAUACGUAGGCUAUAUGCCUACUUUGAUAUUAAAUUUAUUUUUUGUUGGGGAUGGUCUAUCACAAUGGCUUGUCAUUGGGACCUUGCAUAUCGUCUAGGUGUUGCACUAUAGCCUAGGUCUGGCAAACCCUAA